Long non-coding RNA from Schistocerca nitens (vagrant locust), 447 nucleotides. RefSeq lists it as uncharacterized. The transcript has 3 exons. Lineage: Eukaryota; Metazoa; Arthropoda; Insecta; Orthoptera; Acrididae. The record is from RefSeq and is a predicted model, not a curated record.
UGGUAUAGAGGUUGGCACACUGAUAGAUUGUAGUCAAUCGUACCACUACAGCACACUUCACAUAAUAGAGGCGGCUUCCAGGAUCAGUCUUGUGCAGUAGCUUUGCUACAACAAUGUCCAGAGAUUUCACAUCAGGGCGCCAACGUGAGCUCCCAACGGACAAAAGGGAGGCGAGAGAGGCCUUGUACUACGCAGCUUCUGCGGUAAUGGCUGACAUUCCAGUAUUGAUGGAAGAGAUGGCUGAUAGUGUGAACGCAGUGAACAGAAAAAUGUAUGCUGUCAACGAGCUUUUGCGAGCAGUUUCCCAACAUUAUGUGCAACCUAAUGGGAGUCAAAAUACAAAACCCUAGAUAAUUGACAGAAGAUUCUAUAUUUUAAUUUUGUUGCUUGGCAACCAAUUUCUGUGUAUCGAAUUCUAAGAGUAAUUAAAGAAAGUGCUGUAAAUCA